GACAGAGGCCCCGAGCGUUAGGCGGAAUCACUGGGCUUAAAGCGUGUGUAGGCGGACCGGUAAGUACCUUGUGAAAUCCCACGGCUCACCCGUGGAACUGCUGGGUAUACUGCCGGUCUCGGGCCAACUAGGGGCAACUGGAACAAGCGGUGGAGCGGUGAAAUGCGUAGAUAUCGGAAGGAACACCAGUGGCGAAAGCGGCUUCCUGGUCCAGCACCGACGUUCAGGCACGAAAGCGUGGGGAGCAAACAGG
Molecule: ribosomal RNA, 253 nt
Filed under: uncultured bacterium
Lineage: Bacteria
Description: partial 16S ribosomal RNA
Rfam family: Bacterial small subunit ribosomal RNA
Source: RNAcentral